This 497-nucleotide ribosomal RNA is filed under the name uncultured bacterium. RNAcentral describes it as "partial 16S ribosomal RNA". It matches the Rfam family "Bacterial small subunit ribosomal RNA", at positions 28 to 507 of the family's 1533-position model. The record is from RNAcentral.
GACGAACGCUGGCGGCGUGCCUAAUACAUGCAAGUAGAACGCUGAAGAGAGGAGCUUGCUCUUCUUGGAUGAGUUGCGAACGGGUGAGUAACGCGUAGGUAACCUGCCUUGUAGCGGGGGAUAACUAUUGGAAACGAUAGCUAAUACCGCAUAACAAUGGAUGACACAUGUCAUUUAUUUGAAAGGGGCAAUUGCUCCACUACAAGAUGGACCUGCGUUGUAUUAGCUAGUAGGUGAGGUAAUGGCUCACCUAGGCGACGAUACAUAGCCGACCUGAGAGGGUGAUCGGCCACACUGGGACUGAGACACGGCCCAGACUCCUACGGGAGGCAGCAGUAGGGAAUCUUCGGCAAUGGGGGCAACCCUGACCGAGCAACGCCGCGUGAGUGAAGAAGGUUUUCGGAUCGUAAAGCUCUGUUGUAAGUCAAGAACGGGUGUGAGAGUGGAAAGUUCACACUGUGACGGUAGCUUACAAGAAAGGGACGGCUAACUACGUG